This 468-nucleotide ribosomal RNA is filed under the name uncultured bacterium. RNAcentral describes it as "partial 16S ribosomal RNA". The stretch from base 55 to 468 matches the Rfam family "Bacterial small subunit ribosomal RNA", at positions 39 to 507 of the family's 1533-position model. The record is from RNAcentral.
GGGGGGGGGGGGGGGGGGGCGGGGGGGGGGGGGGGCGGGCGGGGGGGGCGGGGGGUGGUGGGGGGCGCGGGGGGGGAGCGGGGGGGUAACGCGUGGGUAGCCGGCCCUUGACUGUGGGGGAACUUCAGGACACUUGGUCUAGUCCCGGAUAGGAGCUCCUGCUGCAUGGGGGGGGUUGGACAGUUUCGGCGGUUGGGGAUGGACUCGCGGCGUAUCAGCUUGUUGGCGGGGUAGUGGCUUACCAAGGCUUUGCCGGGUAGCCGGCCUGAGAGGGUGACCGGCCACAUUGGGACUGAGAUACGGCCCAGACUCCGACGGGAGGCAGCAGUGGGGAAUAUUGCACAAUGGGCGGAAGCCUGAUGCAGCAACGCCGCGUGCGGGAUGACGGCCUUCGGGUUGUAAACCGCUUUCGCCUGUGACGAAGCGUGAGUGACGGUAAUGGGUAAAGAAGCACCGGCUAACUACGUG